GAACGCUGGCGGCAGGCUUAACACAUGCAAGUCGAGCGCCCUGCUUGCAGGGAGCGGCAGACGGGUGAGUAACGCGUGGGAACGUACCUUUCGGUUCGGGACAACCCUGGGAAACUGGGGCUAAUACCGGAUACGCUCUACGGAGGAAAGAUUUAUCGCCGAGAGAUCGGCCCGCGUUGGAUUAGCUUGUUGGUGAGGUAAUGGCUCACCAAGGCGACGAUCUAUAGCUGGUCUGAGAGGAUGAUCAGCCACAUUGGGACUGAGACACGGCCCAAACUCCUACGGGAGGCAGCAGUGGGGAAUAUUGGACAAUGGGCGAAAGCCUGAUCCAGCAAUACCGCGUGUGUGAAGAAGGCCUUCGGGUUGUAAAGCACUUUCAAUAGGG
This 385-nucleotide ribosomal RNA is filed under the name Chaetoceros affinis. RNAcentral describes it as "partial Bacterial small subunit ribosomal RNA". It matches the Rfam family "Bacterial small subunit ribosomal RNA", at positions 31 to 444 of the family's 1533-position model. Lineage: Eukaryota; Bacillariophyta; Thalassiosirophyceae; Chaetocerotales; Chaetocerotaceae. The record is from RNAcentral.